Long non-coding RNA from Mercenaria mercenaria, 454 nucleotides. RefSeq lists it as uncharacterized. The record is from RefSeq and is a predicted model, not a curated record. The transcript is spliced from 3 exons. Lineage: Eukaryota; Metazoa; Mollusca; Bivalvia; Venerida; Veneridae.
CUGCAUUGUUGCUGAAAUCAAGAAAUCAGUUAUUCCGGGCAAAUUUUCUGUCACCAUGAGACUUGGGAAAACAGGAGCAGAAAUAUAUACAUCUAUCCUGUCUACAUGAAUACUGUGAGUGUCCACAAUUCUUGCCUACCAGAAGAUGACCUACAGAAGUCUUGAGAUAAACCAUUGAGUGGCUUGGAGUCUGAGGUGGUCUGUCAAGAACUUGAGGAAUGCUGGUGUAACAAGUCUGAUAGAGUAGGAAUUAACUUCUCUGAACUAUCUCUACUGUAUAGCUUUUCAGACUGUAGUUCCAAAGCAUGACUACUCUUACCAGGACUUGUCAUAUUGAGAGAGCAGUCUUAAGAUGAAAAAAUAAUUGCUGCUGAAAGAAAAACACCAACAAAAAAGACAUAACCCAAUAUCUCCAAAACAACUCCAUGUGUAUGUGGUUUUGUUUAUAAUUAAG